CUGCAUUUCACCGUGAGCAAGCAACAACUUUCUCGUAGUGGGUGAAACACAAAGUCGUGCGAUUCCCACGCCGUCACCUACCCCAAAUUUGCCACAUAAUCACAGGCACCCGCCAAAGCACCAAACUUUCUUUCCCACGCUUUGGACUCUUUCUGGUUUCCAUAGCUCUCUCUGUCUCUCUGUCUCUCUCUCUCUGGUGGGAAAAGAAAGCAAAAGAAGGGGAGGAGAGAGAUUUUCGAUCAAAUUCUCAGAUCUCUCUCUGCACGAGUUCAAGACCUUUAAUCGCUUUAUCAAAUAACCAAAAUGGGCCAGAAAUCGUUGAUCUACUCAUUCGUUUCAUGUGGAAAUGUGAUUCUUGCUGAGUACACAGAAUUCAGUGGCAAUUUCAAUUCCAUAGCGUUUCAGUGCCUCCAGAGGCUCCCUGCCACCAACAAUAAGUUUACUGACAACUGCGAUGCCCACUCCUUCAAUUACCUCGUCGACAAUGGCUACAGUGAGUCUUUUAAAAUUACUAUUUUAUGUUUGUUUCCCGAGAAAUUAAAGAAUCGAAUGAAGUGUAAUUUUUGUAAAUUAAUUUUAAGAAACAUAAUUAAAAUUUAUUUAAAAUAAAUUCUAUGUUUGUGAUGGAUUUGAAUGAAAGAUUAUGUCAAAUUGCCACAAGAAAUCCCUACCCACUGUUUUCGUUGUCUUAAAUCCAAAACCUGUUUUCUUUCUUUCCUCGCGUUUCCUAUGAAACCCUCUCCUCUUUCUUCUUCCAUAAUUUUAUUUCUUUCUAUGAUAAAUAAUUUCUCUCUGGUCUCUGCACCAGUUUAUCUCUCGUUCUGUGGUCAUCUCUCGUUCUCGGUUCUUUAGCCAUGGGACGUGGUAGAAAGCGGCAGCAACCGGAGUUAACCCUUGAUAUGUC
Molecule: unclassified non-coding RNA, 904 nt
Filed under: Hevea brasiliensis (rubber tree)
Lineage: Eukaryota; Viridiplantae; Streptophyta; Magnoliopsida; Malpighiales; Euphorbiaceae
Source: RNAcentral